GUAGGUGGCAAGCGUUGUCCGGGAAUUAUUGGGGCGUAAAGCGCGCGCAGGCGGGUUCUUUAAGUCUGAUGUGAAAGCCCACGGGCUCAACCGUGGGAGGGUCAUUGGAAACUGGAGAACUUGAGUACAGAAGAGGAAAGCGGAAUUCCACAUGUAGCGGUGAAAUGCGUAGAGAUGUGGAGGAACACCAGUGGCGAAGGCGGCUUUCUGGUCUGUAACUGACGCUGAGGCGCGAAAGCGUGGGGAGCAAACAGGAUUAGAUACCCUGGUAGUCCACGCCGUAAACGAUGAGUGCUAAGUGUUAGGGGGUUUCCGCCCCUUAGUGCUGCAGCUAACGCAUUAAGCACUCCGCCUGGGGAGUACGGCCGCAAAGGCUGA
This 378-nucleotide ribosomal RNA is filed under the name uncultured organism. RNAcentral describes it as "partial 16S ribosomal RNA". It matches the Rfam family "Bacterial small subunit ribosomal RNA", at positions 527 to 897 of the family's 1533-position model. The record is from RNAcentral.